UGGGGAAUAUUGGACAAUGGGGGCAACCCUGAUCCAGCAAUGCCGCGUGUGUGAAGAAGGCCUUAGGGUUGUAAAGCACUUUAGGCUGGGAGGAAGUUAUAUUGUUUAAGAGAUGAUAUAGUUGACUGUACCGGCAGAAUAAGCACCGGCUAACUCUGUGCCAGCAGCCGCGGUAAUACAGAGGGUGCGAGCGUUAAUCGGAGUUACUGGGCGUAAAGGGCGCGUAGGCGGUUAGUUAAGAUAGAUGUGAAAGCCCUGGGCUUAACCUAGGAACGGCAUCUGUAACUGACUAGCUGGAGUAUUGUAGAGGGUAGUGGAAUUUCCGGUGUAGCGGUGAAAUGCGUAGAGAUCGGAAGGAACACCAGUGGCGAAGGCGGCUACCUGGACAAAUACUGACGCUGAGGCGCGAGAGCGUGGGGAGCAAACAGGAUUAGAUACCCGCGUAGUCC
RNAcentral lists this ribosomal RNA (449 nucleotides) under uncultured bacterium. Its description in RNAcentral is "bacterial SSU rRNA". It matches the Rfam family "Bacterial small subunit ribosomal RNA", at positions 355 to 796 of the family's 1533-position model. The record is from RNAcentral.